RNAcentral lists this ribosomal RNA (204 nucleotides) under uncultured bacterium. Its description in RNAcentral is "partial 16S ribosomal RNA". It matches the Rfam family "Bacterial small subunit ribosomal RNA", at positions 328 to 539 of the family's 1533-position model. The record is from RNAcentral.
ACGCUCGACACCUACGGGGGGCAGCAGUGGGGGAAGUAAUUGGGCAAUGGGCGAAAGCCUGACCCAGCAACGCCGCGUGAGGGAAGAAGGUUUUCGGAUUGUAAACCUCUGUCCUCAGGGACGAAGGACGUGACGGUACCUGAGGAGGAAGCCCCGGCUAACUACGUGCCAACAGCCGCGGUAAUCUGAGCGGGCUGGCAAGGC